This 373-nucleotide ribosomal RNA is filed under the name uncultured organism. RNAcentral describes it as "partial 16S ribosomal RNA". It matches the Rfam family "Bacterial small subunit ribosomal RNA", at positions 527 to 896 of the family's 1533-position model. The record is from RNAcentral.
GUAGGUGGCAAGCGUUGUCCGGAAUUAUUGGGCGUAAAGCGCGCGCAGGCGGUCCUUUAAGUCUGAUGUGAAAGCCCACGGCUCAACCGUGGAGGGUCAUUGGAAACUGGGGGACUUGAGUACAGAAGAGGAAAGCGGAAUUCCAAGUGUAGCGGUGAAAUGCGUAGAGAUCUGGAGGAACACCAGUGGCGAAGGCGGCUUUCUGGUCUGUAACUGACGCUGAGGCGCGAAAGCGUGGGGAGCAAACAGGGAUUAGAUACCCUGGUAGUCCACGCCGUAAACGAUGAGUGCUAAGUGUUAGGGGGUUUCCCGCCCCUUAGUGCUGCAGCUAACGCAUUAAGCACUCCGCCUGGGGAGUACGGCCGCAAGGCUG